Molecule: non-coding RNA, 488 nt
Organism: Drosophila melanogaster (fruit fly)
Lineage: Eukaryota; Metazoa; Arthropoda; Insecta; Diptera; Drosophilidae
Source: Ensembl
CUGAUCAGCUUGACCAGCGACCUUUUUUAGAAUCUACGGAGCAUGGGCCACAUCCCCACCCAAAAUUGGGCGCAUAAAAACCUUACCCAUGGCGCCAACGCCAUCGCCACUGCCACGCCCACCGACGAACCGUCAAGCCCAAAAAAAAAAAAAACACACACCUAAACGUGCGUUGUCAAAAAAAAAAGAAACAACCGAAGCAACCACAAUCACAAUCGCAACCAACGUAAAUAAUUUGUCUACGGAUUUUAGUGCUUUACGACGGGCACUAGCCGAGCGCAAACUUAAAUCGUCAAACGGCAGACGAGCCACCCCAAUAGACCGAUCCACACCCACCCGCUGAACCAGCGAGCCACCAAAACAAUCACCUGGUAGCACGUUACUACCCACCAUCAUCCCACCUUGAUCUUGGGGCUCAAACCACCUGAUUCUGCCAUCGUGGAAAGUAUUCACUGUCAAUGCCAUUGUCAAUAAAGAAGAACCCCCGU